This 216-nucleotide ribosomal RNA is filed under the name Clostridioides difficile. Its description in RNAcentral is "partial 16S ribosomal RNA". It matches the Rfam family "Bacterial small subunit ribosomal RNA", at positions 338 to 571 of the family's 1533-position model. The record is from RNAcentral. Lineage: Bacteria; Bacillati; Bacillota; Clostridia; Peptostreptococcales; Peptostreptococcaceae.
CCUACGGGAGGCAGCAGUGGGGAAUAUUGCACAAUGGGCGAAAGCCUGAUGCAGCAACGCCGCGUGGGUGAUGAAGGCCUUCGGGUCGUAAAACUCUGUCCUCAAGGAAGAUAAUGACGGUACUUGAGGAGGAAGCCCCGGCUAACUACGUGCCAGCAGCCGCGGUAAUACGUAGGGGGCUAGCGUUAUCCGGAUUUACUGGGCGUAAAGGGUGCG